GUCGAGGCUGGCGGCCGAGACGCCCACAGGCUCGUACACGCGCCCCUCUGCAGGCUUCCGCCGACGCCGUGACACUGCCGGGGGCAGGCUGAGAAAACCGGGUCGGAACUCGAAGCUCCCGGGCUGGUGGGGUAAGGCCGCCACCGCAUUCCCGACUCCGCUUCCCUGGCCCCGGCGCUCAUUGGGCAGCUGCGGCGAAGGCGUAACGGUCUCCACCGGGAAGGAGCCCCCGAGUGGGGACAGCGCGGACUGUGCGGGGUGUCCGCGAGCAGACGGGCCCUUCUAUCUGCGUAGCCCGCCAAGCAAGUUCCUCCGACUUGUCCUCGCGGGCAGCCGCCGCACAUCAAAGACGCUGUUUAUUUGGCUUUCCGUAAAGGACAAAUGAACAAAGAAGAAAAGCUGGGGACCGCGGGGGGCGGGGGCGUGGGCAGGAGAAGGGGCAAAGAAAGGGACACUCUCAGUUCCGAGCAAAAUUAAGGUGGGAGGCAACUUUGGGAGCCACCAUUUUAUCGGUCCUAAAUCUUGUGAAGUGAAAACAUUAAAGUGACAAAGUGAUUCUGUUUGUUUUAUAGUAUCUAAUUGGGCUGCUUUGCAGACCUAAUGAGAUUAGAGGGAGGAAUCGUUCACCGCCACUGCAGAAUAAACUGAUACAUUGCUACCAGCCACAGGUUUUGAGGACUGUACAGCUUGUCUCUUUCUUUUGUUGUUAUUCCUCUGUCUUCUCUCUUUCCCCCUCCCGCCAAAUGAUUAUUUGCUAGUAUAUCGUGGGAAAAAAAAAAGAGAGGAGGGGGGGAAAAACCCAGCAGCCCUGGACUAUAAUAUAUAUCUAUUUAUUGUAUGUCUUUCGGUUAAUUCCUGAUCUGAGGAGCGCUGUUUUUCACUCCCAUGCGAAAGUCACCAGCGGGUAGGGCCUGAUUGCUACUUUUCAUGCAUAGUUUUAGACACAAGAGGGCAUUGUGACGUCGCGCCCGGCGGCGCCCAGUCGCAAGCCGAGUCCAGCUGCCCCACGUGGGGGCCCCGCGCUCCCAUUGGCCAGCGCCGGGCGAAGCUGCCACAUUAUUUUGUUACUUUUCAGUCCCUAUUUGGAACUGCUCUCGCGGCAGUUCAGACCUCGUGCUCGUCCCCCUCGCCUGUCUGUGUGUGGUAUCCGCAGGUCCGGGGCACUUUUUUGGUGUGUGUGUGUGUGUGUGUGCGCGCGCUGGGUGUGUGUUGGGGUGGGGGGUGGGGAGUGUCGGGGCGCGGAGAGGAGAGCCGGGCCGAGGCGAAGGAAGGAAGCCGCAGAGCUCCCGGGUCUCGAGCUGCGUCUCCCCUCCAGCGCUCUUCUGCCUGCGCGCUCCGAGGCGGCGGUGGCGGCAGUAGCAGACGGAACAGCAGGCUUUCCUCUCCGAGGGGGGGCGUCGAAGCGCCCGCGCCGGGCUCCCGCCCUCACCCUCCGGCGCUCCUGCGGCCCCAAGCCGCCACCUCGGUGCCUGCCUCCUUCCUCUUCUCGCCGAGAGCCCCCCCUGGGAUCGGACCCGUGCGCCCUGGAUGCUGGGGCUGCCCUGGCGCGCCCCCCUCCUGGCGCGACGCGCUAAGUGAAUCGGAGGGCGCCCGCGCUUGCCCCAAGAGGGGCCCCCAGACCUCGGGACCCCGCGCCGGACCCGCCGGGGAGACGACGAUGUCCGCGCAGCCCCCGGCUCUGACGCGCUCCACGCAGCGGGGGGAAGGCGGCCGGCCGCAGCUCGCGGAGCCCUAGGUGCACAAAGCCCGCGCCCGCCGACGACUUUGCCGCCUGCUCCUCGGCUCUUUGUCUCCGCUUGGUGCGGGCGCCGGACUCUGGGCUUUCGGUGCGAGAUCGGGCUGGGGGGGCCGGGGGCGAGCUCUCGGUUUCCCGGCCGCCCCCCGCUCGGG
This 1890-nucleotide long non-coding RNA is filed under the name Cervus hanglu yarkandensis (Yarkand deer). RNAcentral's name for it is "lncRNA (ENSCHYG00000020983.1)". The record is from RNAcentral. Lineage: Eukaryota; Metazoa; Chordata; Mammalia; Artiodactyla; Cervidae.